UGAGCCCGGCGGAGCCCUGCAGAGCCCGGCCGACCUCCAUGGGCUGCGGGGGGCUGCACCCGGACCCUUGGGGCGCGGCGCGCCCCUGAAUGCACCGUGGGAUGCAGGAGGGUGCCAUGGCCUCCCGGCUCCUGCACCGGCUGCGGCACGCCUUGGCCGGCGACGGCCCCGGGGAGGCGGCGGCCAGUCCAGAGGCCGAGCAGUUUCCAGAGAGCUCAGAGCUGGAGGACGACGACGCCGAGGGCCUGUCCUCCCGACUCAGCGGCACCCUCAGCUUCACCAGCGCCGAGGACGACGAGGACGACGAGGACGAGGACGACGAGGAGGCUGGCCCUGACCCGCUGCCCCUCGGGGACGGGACGUCAGGAGAAGACGCAGAACGGAGCCCCCCACCUGAUGGGCAGCGGGGCAGUCAGCUCCUGGCACGGCAGCUGCAGGAUUUCUGGAAGAAGUCCCGGAACACCUUGGCACCCCAGCGGCUGCUCUUCGAAGUGACCAGCGCUAACGUUGUCAAGGACCCGCCCUCCAAGUACGUGAGACAGGGUCUUGCCAUGUUGCCCAGGCUGGUCUCGAACUCCUGGCCUUAAGCAGUUCUCCUGCCUCAGCCUCCCAAAGUACUGGGAUUACAGUGGGGGCUGUCAGAAGAACUAACUGCUCUAUGGGAAGGGAGUACAAAAAAAGGGGCAGCAGCCCCGGGCACUGAAGCUCAUCUCUGUCUUUCUCUCUUCUUGCUGCCUUGGGCCUGGGUCAUUUCAGACAAACCUCAGCUCUACACCCUCGCCGUGAUAGGCCCAGGGCCGCCAGAUUGCCAGCCAGCCCAGAUCUCUCGCCGUUACUCGGACUUUGAGCGGCUGCACCGAAACCUGCAGCGGCAAUUCCGGGGCCCAAUGGCUGCCAUCUCCUUCCCCCGUAAGCGGCUGCGCCGGAAUUUUACUGCAGAGACCAUUGCCCGCCGUAGCCGGGCCUUUGAGCAGUUUUUGGGUCACCUGCAGGCAGUGCCUGAGCUGCGCCAUGCCCCGGACCUGCAGGACUUCUUCGUGCUGCCGGAGCUGCGGCAGGCACAGAGCCUCACCUGUACUGGCCUCUAUCGUGAGGCUCUGGCACUCUGGGCCAAUGCCUGGCAGCUGCAAGCCCAGCUGGGCACCCCCUCUGGCCCAGACCGCCCCCUGCUGACCCUGGCUGGGCUGGCCGUGUGCCACCAGGAGCUGGAAGACCCUGGGGAGGCCCGGGCAUGCUGUGAGAAGGCCCUGCAGCUGCUUGGGGACAAGAGCCUCCACCCUUUGCUGGCACCCUUUCUGGAGGCCCAUGUCCGGCUCUCCUGGCGCCUGGGCCUGGACAAACGUCAAUCAGAGGCUCGGCUCCAAGCCCUGCAGGAGGCAGGCCUUACCCCGACACCACCCCCCAGUCUCAAAGAAUUGCUCAUCAAGGAGGUGCUGGACUAACCCUUGCCUAGAUUUAAGGCCACUGUGAGGAGAGGGGCUGCCCCAGAAUGCAGGGGAAGGACCUGAUGAGGACAGAAUAGCUGGGAGGCUGCAGAGGGUGCUGGGAGCCCCUAGAAGUUCCAAAAGAGAAUAUGAAGCAGAUCAAGGAAACUUCUGUUGAGCUGGGCUCAGGAUGAGCUUUGGCUGGGGUUGCCUUUGUGUAGUACAGGGAAGUCUGACACAGCCUCUCCAGCUUAUAAACAGCCGGGGGGCUGUGGCACAGGUUGGGGCAAUGUUCCCUUGUUGGUGGGCCCCCAAGCUGGCAAGGCCUCUUGGCUGAAGGCCAGGGACUCUGCCCUGGAGUCCUGGAGUUAAGGGAUGAAGGCAAGGCUGCAGGUCUGGCCCAGGGGAAUUAAAAGCCAGCCACUCCAGUGGUA
This 1858-nucleotide small RNA is filed under the name Pongo abelii (Sumatran orangutan). Its description in RNAcentral is "processed transcript". Lineage: Eukaryota; Metazoa; Chordata; Mammalia; Primates; Hominidae. The record is from RNAcentral.